This 414-nucleotide ribosomal RNA is filed under the name Clostridioides difficile. Its description in RNAcentral is "partial 23S ribosomal RNA". It matches the Rfam family "Bacterial large subunit ribosomal RNA", at positions 2284 to 2697 of the family's 2925-position model. Lineage: Bacteria; Bacillati; Bacillota; Clostridia; Peptostreptococcales; Peptostreptococcaceae. The record is from RNAcentral.
CGCCUCCCAAAAGGUAACGGAGGCGCUCAAAGGUUCUCUCAGUACGGUCGGAAAUCGUACGUAGAGUGUAAAGGCAAAAGAGAGCUUGAUUGCAAGACAUACAGGUCGAGCAAGGAUGAAAAUCGGACUUAGUGAUCCGGUGGUUCUGCGUGGAAGGGCCAUCGCUCAACGGAUAAAAGCUACCCUGGGGAUAACAGGCUUAUCUCCCCCAAGAGUCCACAUCGACGGGGAGGUUUGGCACCUCGAUGUCGGCUCAUCACAUCCUGGGGCUGUAGUAGGUCCCAAGGGUUGGGCUGUUCGCCCAUUAAAGUGGUACGCGAGCUGGGUUCAGAACGUCGUGAGACAGUUCGGUCCCUAUCCGUCGCAGGCGUAGGAAAUUUGAGAAGACCUGUCCUUAGUACGAGAGGACCGGGA